CAAGCACUGCCGCUUUACAAUUACAAUUAUACAAAAAACGAAAGACAAACCAGCAAAUUCCUCUUUCACUGUGAGAACUGCAGCCAUGAAUUGGGAACUUCCCACCAUUGAUCCACAUGCUCCUGUGAAGUUCACUGAGCUGUAUGACUUUUUGACACCACCAGAAUGUCUGGAUGAGAAAACAACCAUGAGGCGGUUCAUGUCCUUACUGGAGCAAGGAGCGGUUCCAUCCUCUGUUACUCUGAAGGACAUCACCGAGUGGCUCUCUGGAGAACAUUGCUUCAUCAGCAAGUGAGACAGGCUUAGUCUUUCUCUUACAAAUCACAUGUCUGUGCA
Long non-coding RNA from Osmerus eperlanus (European smelt), 336 nucleotides. RefSeq lists it as uncharacterized. NCBI's taxonomy places the organism in Eukaryota, Metazoa, Chordata, Actinopteri, Osmeriformes, Osmeridae. The transcript is spliced from 3 exons. The record is from RefSeq and is a predicted model, not a curated record.